Non-coding RNA from Phyllosticta paracitricarpa, 100 nucleotides. The record is from the annotation of a GenBank genome assembly. Lineage: Eukaryota; Fungi; Ascomycota; Dothideomycetes; Botryosphaeriales; Phyllostictaceae.
GCCCGGCUAGCUCAAUCGGUAGAGCGUGAGACUCUUAGUACACGCCCUCAAAGGCGUUGCAGGCAUCUCAAGGCUGCGGGUUCGACCCCCGCGUUGGGCU